RNAcentral lists this transfer RNA (71 nucleotides) under Marmota monax (woodchuck). Its description in RNAcentral is "tRNA.Ala". Lineage: Eukaryota; Metazoa; Chordata; Mammalia; Rodentia; Sciuridae. The record is from RNAcentral.
GUGGGGUUGUGGCUCAGUGGCAGAGCGCUUGCCUAGCAGGCGUGAGGCACUGGGUUCAAUCCAGCACCACA